RNAcentral lists this ribosomal RNA (404 nucleotides) under Actinomycetes bacterium. RNAcentral's name for it is "Actinobacteria bacterium partial 16S ribosomal RNA". It matches the Rfam family "Bacterial small subunit ribosomal RNA", at positions 355 to 776 of the family's 1533-position model. The record is from RNAcentral. Lineage: Bacteria; Bacillati; Actinomycetota; Actinomycetes.
UGGGGAAUAUUGGACAAUGGGCGCAAGCCUGAUCCAGCCAUGCCGCGUGAGUGAUGAAGGCCCUAGGGUUGUAAAGCUCUUUCACCGGUGAAGAUAAUGACGGUAACCGGAGAAGAAGCCCCGGCUAACUCCGUGCCAGCAGCCGCGGUAAUACGAAGGGGGCUAGCGUUGUUCGGAUCUACUGGGCGUAAAGCGCACGUAGGCGGACUAUUAAGUCAGGGGUGAAAUCCCGGGGCUCAACCCCGGAACUGCCUUUGAUACUGGUAGUCUUGAGUUCGAGAGAGGUGAGUGGAAUUCCGGGUGUAGAGGUGAAAUUCGUAGAUAUUCGGAGGAACACCAGUGGCGAAGGCGGCUCACUGGCUCGAUACUGACGCUGAGGUGCGAAAGCGUGGGGAGCAAACAGG